Long non-coding RNA from Phyllostomus discolor (pale spear-nosed bat), 6494 nucleotides. RefSeq lists it as uncharacterized. The transcript is spliced from 4 exons. NCBI's taxonomy places the organism in Eukaryota, Metazoa, Chordata, Mammalia, Chiroptera, Phyllostomidae. The record is from RefSeq and is a predicted model, not a curated record.
CUCCUAGCAACCGGGUAACAUCUGCUCCCUCUGGUCCAAUGCGAGCUGAGAACAGCUGCGCUCGCGCCUAGCGUUCCGAACCAGAGCAAGAGGCGCUUCAGACCGGAGGGACCGACCUGCAGCAGCCUGGGCUCCCGGCAGUGCUGCAGUUACCGCCGCCGCUGCUGCUGCCGCCGCUGCUGCUGUCGCGCUGCCGCCACCACCGGCCGCUGUCGCUCUCAGCGCCCUGUCUAAAGAGUGACAGCGACGCAAAAGCGGGAGGGAGCACUGAACCCCGCGCCUUUAUGAAACAAGUGCAUGCGCCUAUCUCCUAGUGAAUGGACCCAGCUCGCAAGGUAGCCAUUCAUUCCUGAGCUGGAGGCUGUGAGAAAUGCUCGCUGUGCACAGGGGAACUCUCACCAGAUUUUCUGAAGCUGUCCUAGAAAUACACUUUUCAGAUUGAUUCAGCAUUACCAGCUUAUCCAACAAGAGUAUUAACAUACACAUUAACAACGUCGAAAGUAGCUUACUUUAAGAGAAAAUAUGCAGAAGAAGAAGAUUUACAUCAAGAUUGCCAUGGGUAUUUUCCAAAACACCUGAUAUUGCCCGAGGACAGGACUUGCAUUCUCAAACUGUCUCUGGAGAAGCUCAGGUUUCUUGAAGACCCAGAAACCUACUUGAGAAGGUCUGUGUUAAUUAACAAUUUGCUGAGGAAGAUCCACCUAGAGACGGAGAAGGAGAGCUAUGAAUACUUUAAAGAAGCUCCCUGUUAUAAGACGGCUUAUUCUGAUACAAGAAAACGGCUGAAGUUUAUGGUACAGGAAUGCUGUUCUCAGUCUCUCUAUUACGAAGAGCUGCAUUCGUAUCAUAUUGUGCCUUAUGCUUCGGAAAAUGCCAUUUAUGGAAUGGGCUACACUAGCAGCCACUUGGAGCAAAAUUCUCAGUUGCUUAUUUAUAAAAUGAAUUAAAGUAACUGUUAAGUCCAUUGAUACUUUGUUUCUAAAUGCCUGAACUGUUUAUUGUGAAGAUGUUAACAUAGGCACUGUUUAUCAGUGCACUUGAGAUCAAAGAUGAGAUGCAUGCUACACUGAUUGGAGAGAACUCUGGUUAUUACUCAGCAGUCCUUAGCACUACCAAGUCAAAUUAGAAAUAUGUCUACCUACUAUAAAGUGGCAAGUAAGUGCUUUAGAAGUCAGAUUUUUUUAAAGCUAUGGUACGUAGAAAGAGACCUAUAUCGACAUCUUACACAGAUUUAAACAUUUUAAGCCCCUAUUUUCAAAUUUUGCCACUCUUAGUGGAAGGUAACAAAAAGGAGCAGAUUAAACUGAAAUAGUCUUGUCUCUGAGGCUUAAGGGUGGAACAAACUUACAGUAACUUUCUGGACGUGAGGAGGAGAGUAGGUUCUUGCUGAAAAGCUUUGGCUUGUCAAGCGUAGUGCCAAAUAAUUGUUUGACGCCAUUCUCCUGUGGGCAUUAGUGGCAAUUCGAGGUGGAGCAGACAUACUGCGACCCAACUGCUGAAUGGAGCAACCAGACUACUCCAAACUGACCCGUUUUCCAUUUUGCUAUUUUUUUGUCUUGAUAGACUUUUCUCUUUAAGGGUGAAAUUUCAUAAAAUAGCCUUGUGGAUGGGCUUAUCUCUAAGUUUUAGGGGUGGUUAAAAAUGUGGUGGGUCUUUAGUUAAGCGUUUAAAUUUUAUUUAUGAUGUCAUUUUGUACAGGCUGUGAAGUUCAGGAAAAGAGUAGGCAGGUACACUUUGUUUUUAAUAGGUUUAUAAUUUUUAAAAAAGCUUAUCUGCAAAAAUUGAGGAGGACAACAGAAAUUCCACAUGGUGUUAUUUCUUCAUCUAGAUUGCACAUAUGGCUGCCUGGAUGACACUUUGCACUGGUUUGUGUACCAUUGUCGACCACUCGCUAUUUGACAAAAUGUUCCAAAAUGCCUUUGGUGGCAAAGUUUAGACAAGCCCCUAUAUUUUGCAACUUGAAAGCUAAUUAUUUAACAAGUUGGGUAGAUUUCUGAAAUUGUUCAAAGUGGUUCGUAUUUUUCUUUGAGGUUCGAUUGAGAUGUCUGAUUUCAAUGUCUGGAGUUAUGUUCUAUGAAACCUUUCAUUGAAAUAAUUGUCACUCACUGAUAAAACGGAUUGAGAAAACUAGGUGCCAAAGGUAUAUUCAAGAAAAUACCAAAGACCCAAAGAGGAGUGUUGGAUAGACUGUGAGAGUCAAGAAUCUAAAAUGAGGUUAGUACAGGACGUAGAAGCACCUUGUGGAAGGGUUUUGGGAUGAUCAGCUGGCUGUGGUGCUUUCAGAGCACUUGGUACGUGACAACGAUCAUCAGAGACACUGCUUUAAAUCAAGACACGACAGGCCUUGGGUGAUCAUGUGUUUUGGCAAAUUUAAAUAUGGUGAUUUGUCAGCCUUGUAUCUUGCCUAGUUCAAAGCCAUCUUAUAACCAAGAAGGCCUUUUUCUCUUCAAGAGAAUUUUGUUUUUUGUUUUUAUUCACUACUUGCUCACUUUAAUGAAUCAGGGGUGAUUAACAUGCUUGCUUUCGGCAGGAAGAACGUGGGCACCCUAAUCAGCAUGCAUUGUUGAAGACAACACAGAUCUAGAACUGAUAACAGUAUCAGGUUUCUAUUUAAUUGCUCAAUCAAAAUUAGGGAAAAUGCUUUAGGACAAACCAAAAAAUUAUAGGUUUGUAUUUAAAGACAAUUUGGUAUGAACAGUAUGAACAAUAUGAAAAGUGAGACAGGUUUGAAAUACAAAUAUAAAUACUUCAAAAUUAAUUUAAGGGAAAAGAUUUGGCAACAAAAUUAAAAAAAUUUAUUUCACUGCUUAUAAAAUACCUUGUUUCUCAGAAUAGUUCUUUUAAAAUGUAGGUUUUUAAAACAGUGGAAACACUAAUUGAAGAGAUUCUGAAUUUGAUAGGAUAAUUAUACUAUCAUAUAAUUAAAAAAUACAAUUAGCACUCCAAUAGUUAAAGUUUUUUAGUGAAAAGAACAUUUGGCUUGGUUUAGGACAGUGUCCAUAGGAAAAACACACCACUGCUAAUAGAUGUGACUUACAAAAAUGUCACAUAUUAAAAUUGUUUGAGGAGAGAAGUGCACAUGCUUUGGAGUAUAAAAGAGAGAGAGAGAAAAAUUACGAAGGAAGCAUGAAAUUGUAAUAUUUAUUGUAUGCCAGAGAUCUUAAGUGAAGUGAGGACUCUUGGUCAAUGAACCAGUAGAAGAUGUGAACUCUGUUUUGUUUGGCGACAUCGUCAGCCCAGCUUGCUGAUCUAUAUAUUCAUAAGUAGAGAAGGAACUGUCUUAGAAAUUAACAGUAUUUGUGAAUAUGCCUUCUUUAAAAUAUGUGCUGAUUUCAAAAUAAGUUAUUUAAAAAAUAUCUUUUAGAACAUCUAAUUUCUUUUCCAAUAAACAAUUCAUAGAUGAGUUGACUAAUGUUAUCUUGACUUUUAAAAAAAUAAUAAUUUGUAUUUCAACGAUGUAACUUUCUGAAUUAACCAUUAAAACUGCUGUCAUUUACCAUAAACUGACACAGAGGGAGACCCUGCACACACGGGCCCUGCUGACCCUGCCCUACACGCUGCAUUGUGGGAGAGGUGAAAGGCGGCAGACAAGUUACAACAUUUUUGAACCUGGACAUCCUUUCUCUGGUGACAAGAACCACUCUUAGAGUAAGAAAGACAGGAUGGGAAAUCUGAGUGGCAUUGGUAAUGUUGAUCCUUCUUGUGGGUACCCAAACAGCCUAAAGACCUAGUAAAAAAGAAGACAUUUUUUAAAAGGGAAGAGGAAAAAAAUAAAAGAGAUGAGGAAGGGGAAAAGAGGGCAGAGAAAUAAGGAACAGGUUUAGUAAGUGAAAGAGAAAGCUGUUGCAUGUGGGGAGGGGUUCCUUGCCUACUAUACUCAACUCUUGUCCAUUAUACACCUAAAACCUGAUAUCCAGGUGGAUAUCAGGAUCCUGUGAAACAAUCAUUUUCACGAUCCUUUCUUUCCUUCACAGAUGAUGCAUACGGUUAGAUUCUGUUCAGUAAAUGUAUCAUUUGAAAUGUGGUAUUACUGUGAAACAUCCCUGACACUGAGAUCCCGAGUAGAUGAGAAAAGGAAAAAUGGAAAUUAAGUUGGGGGAAAGACUAAAUGACGAGCCACUGUAUACAUGGGUAAGCUCAAUGCAUGAUCAGAUUCCAAUGUACACCCCUAGAUUUAAUAAAUUCUAGAGCUAGAAGACUUGGAAAUAAGUGCAAUCCUCCACUAUUAACGGAGUAACUACUACGAGCCAGGAACUGUGCUAGGGUUGGGGGUACAGAGAUGAUUGUGCACAGUUUCUUUGCUUAAGCUGUUCACUGAUGAGAGAAGACCACAGCGAUGUUUGGCUUGAUUUAAAAGGUAAAAACUCUACCAGGAGCAGUACCUGCAUUUCUCUUUUCCAAACUGUGGGAUGGUUCUCAAAUGAACAUCUCCAAAGGCGUUUGUGGCUUGGUGAGGAGGGAAGGUCUACUAACUCAGAUCUUAGAGAAGGAAUGUACGUUCUGCUUUGCAGCCUAUUUUAUCCUUGGAGGCGUAGUAGGAAACCACUGUUCAAGUGGGAAAGCAUGGCUGGCCUUAGCCCAUCCCUAGCACACAAGAGGUCAUAGGGAGGUAGGGAGACAAAUGUGAAUACAGAACAAUUCUUUCUCUUCUGACUUCUGUGGCUUUCGUUUUUUUAAACAAGGGAAGUCAGAUUGAUAUUAAUGUCAAGGAGAUUCUUGACAGAGAGGCACAAUUGGGAAAUUACAGCCCGAGAAUUGCAUAUACUGUGUUCAAGGUUAAAAGGCCAGCAUUCUUUAAUGUGCCUUGUGCUGGUGAAUAGCUUAAAUGAACCCCAAGCUGUCUCAACACCUGCUGCUAGAGCCAUCCUCCGUUCUACUGCUGGCUUCCUCUCUGAAUCACAGCCCGACCUCCAGACUUUGCUGUAAGUGGAAGUUACGGUUCUAAUCCUUCACUCUCUCCCCUGCUCCACAGCAUCACUACUGAUUUGCUCUGAGACACUUGUAGGAGAGCAACAGUUUGCUGUGCUGGUGGAACUCCUUUGGACAAGGGUCUCCAGAGUGCAUCAAACUAGAAUUCAUCAGUUUCUUGAUACAAUUCCUUUUAAAACUAUUGUGCUUAGCCAUUAAAUAAUUGUCUGUUAAGGUAAUCUUAUGUUUCUGGAGUUUGAUGUAUUAGUUACCAUUGUGUAUGCUUUGCUAAAGAAAAACAACUUCAGGUUGGAAAUAAUGGAAGAGUAUGUGUAAUUAAUUCAAACAGAGUGUGGAUAUUAUGUAGUACAUGGCAUUCGGACUUAAAUUUUCCCAUUCUCAAACUUCAGUACUAUACAUCGGCAUGUGACAUGUUUCAGGUUUUCUGUUUCUUUAUUAAGUGGGACCAUGCCCGAAAGUUGUUUCAUUUAGAGUUGAACAUUUUGAGCAAAAUCUCCCCAUUAAAGUAGUUCCAGCUGCUCCCAAGGGUAACUUAUGGCUGGGUAGAAGGACAUUCCUGUGCAUUAGCCCUUCUCAAGUCUUUUGUGCAUAGAAAUCAUGGAGAUCUUGUUAAAGUACAGAAUCUGUUCAGCAGGUCCAGGGUGGGGCCCCAGAGUCUGCAUUUCUCAUUCCCUCCGGGACGCGAGUGCUGCUGGCGCACUGGCCACACUUUGAGGAGUGAGGCCACGCAUUACUGCGAGGGCCCACAUAGACACUCAAGCCUACACUCUUACUGUUUUCAAAGAGUAUGUAUUCAUGUCCACUUUCUAUAAAGAAAUUCAAAGGAAAAAGUAAAUAUCAUCAACCAGUUUUUGAAAUUGGCCACAAAUAUGAGAAUAUUUUAUAUAGACAAACACAUAGAAGGCUAUUUUCCUUAUAGAAUUUAUGUACAUCAAGGAGCCAAAAAAGGAACAUGGAUAUAAUCAUGUAUUGUUCUCAUGAGUCAAGAAAUGACACAUGGUAAAUUUCUCUUCUUGAUUUCCCCCUGGAUUGUACCCAUUUAAGGAAGCGCCAUUUAGUAACACUAGGGCAAAGAUGAAAUGUUCACAGUUAACAGGAAUUCGGCACUUUUUUUCCUUGGCCAACCCUGAGAAAAAUCUUAUAAAAGCAUUCUCUAUUAAACUCAGAUGUAUGGGUGACUGCACAGCCUGAAGAAUUUGGUAACUCUGAGCUGAAAAAUGGCAUCUGGAUCUUCAACUGCUUGCUUUGAACUCUUUCUUGAGGGGACCUUCCCCUUUAUUCCACGAGGGACCCCUCCCCCCCUUGCUAUGGACACCCUGUUUCCCUUUAGUCGUCAGCAUCCGAGUGAGGGGCAGCGCGUCGGUGUAAAUGAGAGUGUUGCAAAUAUUGUCUAAUUUGAGCAUGCCAAGUGAUUUUUGUCAGGCUGUCCUCUGGUCAUAAAUUGUUGGUAUAGCUAUGUGAACUAUAGUGUCAUAAAUUUGUCAUAGACCAUUAACAAAGGGAGAAAAGAAGAAAUUUAGUUCUGUGAAAAUGCACUCAAAUACCAAGCAGAUGGUGUUCUACAA